GUGCUCACUUAAGCAGCAUGCACAGUAAAACUGGAACAAUACAGAGACAAUUAGCAAUGCCUGCACAAGGGUGACAUGAGAAUCAUCAUGUCUUCCAUAGUUUC
RNAcentral lists this small nuclear RNA (104 nucleotides) under Neotoma lepida (desert woodrat). Lineage: Eukaryota; Metazoa; Chordata; Mammalia; Rodentia; Cricetidae. The record is from RNAcentral.